GGAUUAUCUCAUCUUCAUCCUGUAAUUCCAGUGUUUGUCACGUGGUUGUUGAAUAAAUGAAUAAAGAAUGAGAAAACCAGAAGCUCUGAUACAUAAUCAUAAUGAUAAUUAUUUCAAUGCACAACUACGGGUGGUGCUGAACUAGAAUCUAUAUUUUCUGAAACUGGCUCCUCUAGGAUCUACUAAUGAUUUAAAUCUAAAAGAUGAAGUUAGUAAAGCAUCAGAAAAAAAAGUGGGUAUUCCUACAAGUCAGGACAUUCUACGUGACUACAAUAUAAUCUCACAGAAAUUUAACAUUAAUACAUUCUAAGAUUUAAUUCUUAGAUUCUUGGUAA
Molecule: long non-coding RNA, 335 nt
Organism: Homo sapiens (human)
Lineage: Eukaryota; Metazoa; Chordata; Mammalia; Primates; Hominidae
Source: Ensembl